This 460-nucleotide ribosomal RNA is filed under the name uncultured bacterium. RNAcentral describes it as "partial 16S ribosomal RNA". It matches the Rfam family "Bacterial small subunit ribosomal RNA", at positions 338 to 795 of the family's 1533-position model. The record is from RNAcentral.
CCUACGGGUGGCAGCAGUGAGGAAUAUUGGUCAAUGGACGAGAGUCUGAACCAGCCAAGUAGCGUGAAGGAUGACUGCCCUAUGGGUUGUAACUUUCUUUUAUAUGGGAAUAAAACGUUCCACGUGUGGGAUUUUGUAUGUACCAUAUGAAUAAGGAUCGGCUAACUCCGUGCCAGCAGCCGCGGUAAUACGGAGGAUCCGAGCUUUAUCCGGAUUUUUUGGGUUUAAGGGGAGCGUGGGUGGAUUGUUAAGUAAGUUGUGAAAGUUUGCGGCUCAACCGUAAAAUUGCAGUUGAAACUGGCAGUCUGGAGUACAGUAGAGGUGGGCGGAAUGCGUGGUGUAGCGGUGAAAUGCUUAGAUAUCACGAAGAACUCCGAUUGCGAAGGCAGUUCACUGGACUGCAACUGACACUGAGGCUCGAAAGUGUGGGUAUCAAACAGGAUUAGAUACCCGAGUAGUC